UUUAGAAAGCACAAAAGCAUUGCAUUAUGUUAAUAAAUUAUUUUCUCAGGAAGAAAGAAAAGAAACAAAGAAAACGAAAAAAAGACUAAUCAGACACUCCUGUGUAGUGUACAAAGCCAAUGAUUUUGAAAUCCCACAAUUCAGAUUAUGGGAAAUUUUCGACCAACUGGAUACAAUUUGAAUCAGAUGGAAAAUUUCAUUUCGUUGCAUCCUGCACCAAGUAAAUGAGCACAAAUCUGAUAAGACAUGAUUACGCAGUCCCGUUUUCAGUAUUAGACUCGAAAGUCAAUCCAUGUUCAUAGGACUCUACUCACAAGUAUCCACAAUGCUGCUGAUCUUUACAAAGAAAAUUCUCUGAAAAAUGACUGGAACAUCAGAAAAUCUUAGCCUCAAUCAUCUUCACUGUCAUCUUGAUUUUUCGCUUGAUUAUUGUUUGGUUGAUUAGGCUUUUGAGCAUCAUACAUCUCAGCAACCUGAUUAGAUGUUGUGGCUUCCUCUGGAGACUUGUCCGUCCGGACUCUUACUAGUCGUGGGAAUCGCAGCGAAACACCCUUGUCUCUUUCCGCUUUGCCAAGUGCAGCACUAUAAACAGGGCUAAUAGUCAAGUCUGCAGCUUUCACCUCCCAUACCUCACUGGGCUCAAACCACACAUCUGGAUUAAUUUUAUCACCAUGCCUAUAGUAUGGCUGGAACCAACCAAAUAGAAAGUUAGAAUUGGCAAAGUAAUAAUAACUCCACCAUUACCAUGAAAAGAAUAACAGACCUUUGGUUUAGGAAUCACUUUAGAACGAAGCCCAUUAGAGAGAUCUUCAAGCACUUGCUCAGAAAAU
Molecule: unclassified non-coding RNA, 830 nt
Filed under: Hevea brasiliensis (rubber tree)
Lineage: Eukaryota; Viridiplantae; Streptophyta; Magnoliopsida; Malpighiales; Euphorbiaceae
Source: RNAcentral